Molecule: ribosomal RNA, 1430 nt
Filed under: Spirochaeta sp.
Lineage: Bacteria; Pseudomonadati; Spirochaetota; Spirochaetia; Spirochaetales; Spirochaetaceae
Description: bacterial SSU rRNA
Rfam family: Bacterial small subunit ribosomal RNA
Source: RNAcentral
CAUGCAAGUCGAACGGCAGCCUGUAGCAAUACAGGUGAGAGUGGCGAACGGGUGAGUAACACGUAGGUGAUCUGUCCUUGUAUCGGGGAUAGUCCGUGGAAACAUGGGGUAAUACCGGAUAAUCUGUAGGGAGUAAAGGCCCUAUAGGAAAGGCGCGUAUGCGCCGGACGAGGAUGAGCCUGCGGCCCAUUAGCUAGUUGGCAGGGUAAGAGCCUACCAAGGCGACGAUGGGUAGCCGGCCUGAGAGGGUGAACGGCCACACUGGGACUGAGAUACGGCCCAGACUCCUACGGGAGGCAGCAGCUAAGAAUCUUCCGCAAUGGGCGCAAGCCUGACGGAGCGACGCCGCGUGGACGAAGAAGGCCGAAAGGUUGUAAAGUCCUUUUCUUUGUGAAGAAUAACGAUGGUAGGAAAUGACCGUUGGAUGACGUUAACAAAGGAAUAAGCCCCGGCUAAUUACGUGCCAGCAGCCGCGGUAAUACGUAAGGGGCGAGCGUUGUUCGGAAUUAUUGGGUGUAAAGGGCGCGUAGGCGGCCACGCAAGUCUGGUGUAAAAGAUAACAGCUUAACUGUUGGAGUGCACUGGAAACUGCGAGGCUUGAGUUUAGGAGGGGGAGCUGGAAUUCCAGGUGUAGGGGUGAAAUCUGUAGAUAUCUGGAAGAACACCGGUGGCGAAGGCGAGCUCCUGGCCAUAGACUGACGCUGAGGCGCGAAAGCGUGGGGAGCAAACAGGAUUAGAUACCCUGGUAGUCCACGCUGUAAACGAUGUACACUAGGUGUUGGUACAAGAGUAUCAGUGCCGAAGCAAACGCGAUAAGUGUACCACCUGGGGAGUAUGCCGGCAACGGUGAAACUCAAAGGAAUUGACGGGGGCCCGCACAAGCGGUGGAGUAUGUGGUUUAAUUCGAUGAUACGCGAGGAACCUUACCAGGGUUUGACAUUGACGGCGAAUUAUGAGAGAUCAUGAUGCCCUUCGGGGGCCGUUACAGGUGCUGCAUGCUGUCGUCAGUUCGUGCCGUGAGGUGUUGGGUUAAGUCCCGCAACGAGCGCAACCCCUAUUUCUAGUUACUACCAGGUUAAGCUGAGGACUCUAGAGAGACUGCCGGUGACAAACCGGAGGAAGGUGGGGAUGACGUCAAGUCAUCAUGGCCCUUAUGUCCUGGGCUACACACGUACUACAAUGGUCGGUACAAAGCGAGGCGAAACCGCGAGGUGGAGCAAACCGCAGAAAGCCGAUCACAGUUCAGAUUGGAGUCUGAAACUCGACUCCAUGAAGGUGGAAUCGCUAGUAAUCGCGCAUCAGCAUGGCGCGGUGAAUACGUUCCCGGGCCUUGUACACACCGCCCGUCACACCACCCGAGUUGGGGGUACCCGAAGUCGGUCGUCUAACCGUAAGGAGGACGCUGCCGAAGGUACGCCUGGUAAGGGGGG